Molecule: transfer RNA, 65 nt
Filed under: Aradus compar
Lineage: Eukaryota; Metazoa; Arthropoda; Insecta; Hemiptera; Aradidae
Description: tRNA-Phe
Source: RNAcentral
AUCAGGGUAGCCUAAUAUAUAAGGCAUGGUAUUGAAGAUACCAAGAUAGGAUUUCCUCUUUGAUA